CANUCUGCCCUUCACUCUGGGACAAGCCCUGGAAACGGGGUCUAAUACCGGAUAACACUCUGUCCCGCAUGGGACGGGGUUAAAAGCUCCGGCGGUGAAGGAUGAGCCCGCGGCCUAUCAGCUUGUUGGUGGNUNAANNNCCUACCAAGGCGACGACGG
RNAcentral lists this ribosomal RNA (159 nucleotides) under Streptomyces sp. RNAcentral's name for it is "partial 16S ribosomal RNA". It matches the Rfam family "Bacterial small subunit ribosomal RNA", at positions 122 to 282 of the family's 1533-position model. Lineage: Bacteria; Bacillati; Actinomycetota; Actinomycetes; Kitasatosporales; Streptomycetaceae. The record is from RNAcentral.